This 257-nucleotide ribosomal RNA is filed under the name uncultured bacterium. RNAcentral describes it as "partial 16S ribosomal RNA". It matches the Rfam family "Bacterial small subunit ribosomal RNA", at positions 524 to 776 of the family's 1533-position model. The record is from RNAcentral.
UACGUAGGGUGCGAGCGUUGUCCGGAAUUAUUGGGCGUAAAGAGCUCGUAGGCGGUGUGUCGCGUCGGCCGUGAAAACCUGCAGCUUAACUGUGGGCGUGCGGUCGAUACGGGCAUCACUGGAGUUCGGCAGGGGAGACUGGAAUUCCUGGGUGUAGCGGUGAAAUGCGCAGAUAUCAGGAGGAACACCGGUGGCGAAGGCGGGUCUCUGGGCCGAUACUGACGCUGGAGGAGCGAAAGCGUCGGGGAGCGAACAGG